UGUAUAAUGGGUCAGCGACUUAUAUUCUGUAGCAAGGUUAACCGAAUAGGGGAGCCGAAGGGAAACCGAGUCUUAACUGGGCGUUAAGUUGCAGGGUAUAGACCCGAAACCCGGUGAUCUAGCCAUGGGCAGGUUGAAGGUUGGGUAACACUAACUGGAGGACCGAACCGACUAAUGUUGAAAAAUUAGCGGAUGACUUGUGGCUGGGGGUGAAAGGCCAAUCAAACCGGGAGAUAGCUGGUUCUCCCCGAAAGCUAUUUAGGUAGCGCCUCGUGAAUUCAUCUCCGGGGGUAGAGCACUGUUUCGGCAAGGGGGUCAUCCCGACUUACCAACCCGAUGCAAACUGCGAAUACCGGAGAAUGUUAUCACGGGAGACACACGGCGGGUGCUAACGUCCGUCGUGAAGAGGGAAACAACCCAGACCGCCAGCUAAGGUCCCAAAGUCAUGGUUAAGUGGGAAACGAUGUGGGAAGGCCCAGACAGCCAGGAUGUUGGCUUAGAAGCAGCCAUCAUUUAAAGAAAGCGUAAUAGCUCACUGGUCGAGUCGGCCUGCGCGGAAGAUGUAACGGGGCUAAACCAUGCACCGAAGCUGCGGCAGCGACGCUUAUGCGUUGUUGGGUAGGGGAGCGUUCUGUAAGCCUGCGAAGGUGUGCUGUGAGGCAUGCUGGAGGUAUCAGAAGUGCGAAUGCUGACAUAAGUAACGAUAAAGCGGGUGAAAAGCCCGCUCGCCGGAAGACCAAGGGUUCCUGUCCAACGUUAAUCGGGGCAGGGUGAGUCGACCCCUAAGGCGAGGCCGAAAGGCGUAGUCGAUGGGAAACAGGUUAAUAUUCCUGUACUUGGUGUUACUGCGAAGGGGGGACGGAGAAGGCUAUGUUGGCCGGGCGACGGUUGUCCCGGUUUAAGCGUGUAGGCUGGUUUUCCAGGCAAAUCCGGAAAAUCAAGGCUGAGGCGUGAUGACGAGGCACUACGGUGCUGAAGCAACAAAUGCCCUGCUUCCAGGAAAAGCCUCUAAGCAUCAGGUAACAUCAAAUCGUACCCCAAACCGACACAGGUGGUCAGGUAGAGAAUACCAAGGCGCUUGAGAGAACUCGGGUGAAGGAACUAGGCAAAAUGGUGCCGUAACUUCGGGAGAAGGCACGC
This 1140-nucleotide ribosomal RNA is filed under the name Escherichia coli. RNAcentral's name for it is "partial 23S ribosomal RNA". It matches the Rfam family "Bacterial large subunit ribosomal RNA", at positions 609 to 1751 of the family's 2925-position model. The record is from RNAcentral. Lineage: Bacteria; Pseudomonadati; Pseudomonadota; Gammaproteobacteria; Enterobacterales; Enterobacteriaceae.